GGUUAAGCGACUAAGCGUACACGGUGGAUGCCCUGGCAGUCAGAGGCGAUGAAGGACGUGCUAAUCUGCGAUAAGCGUCGGUAAGGUGAUAUGAACCGUUAUAACCGGCGAUUUCCGAAUGGGGAAACCCAGUGUGUUUCGACACACUAUCAUUAACUGAAUCCAUAGGUUAAUGAGGCGAACCGGGGGAACUGAAACAUCUAAGUACCCCGAGGAAAAGAAAUCAACCGAGAUUCCCCCAGUAGCGGCGAGCGAACGGGGAGCAGCCCAGAGCCUGAAUCAGUGUGUGUGUUAGUGGAAGCGUCUGGAAAGGCGCGCGAUACAGGGUGACAGCCCCGUACACAAAAAUGCACAUGCUGUGAGCUCGAUGAGUAGGGCGGGACACGUGGUAUCCUGUCUGAAUAUGGGGGGACCAUCCUCCAAGGCUAAAUACUCCUGACUGACCGAUAGUGAACCAGUACCGUGAGGGAAAGGCGAAAAGAACCCCGGCGAGGGGAGUGAAAAAGAACCUGAAACCGUGUACGUACAAGCAGUGGGAGCACAGAGCAAUCUGUGUGACUGCGUACCUUUUGUAUAAUGGGUCAGCGACUUAUAUUCUGUAGCAAGGUUAACCGAAUAGGGGAGCCGAAGGGAAACCGAGUCUUAACUGGGCGUUAAGUUGCAGGGUAUAGACCCGAAACCCGGUGAUCUAGCCAUGGGCAGGUUGAAGGUUGGGUAACACUAACUGGAGGACCGAACCGACUAAUGUUGAAAAAUUAGCGGAUGACUUGUGGCUGGGGGUGAAAGGCCAAUCAAACCGGGAGAUAGCUGGUUCUCCCCGAAAGCUAUUUAGGUAGCGCCUCGUGAAUUCAUCUCCGGGGGUAGAGCACUGUUUCGGCAAGGGGGUCAUCCCGACUUACCAACCCGAUGCAAACUGCGAAUACCGGAGAAUGUUAUCACGGGAGACACACGGCGGGUGCUAACGUCCGUCGUGAAGAGGGAAACAACCCAGACCGCCAGCUAAGGUCCCAAAGUCAUGGUUAAGUGGGAAACGAUGUGGGAAGGCCCAGACAGCCAGGAUGUUGGCUUAGAAGCAGCCAUCAUUUAAAGAAAGCGUAAUAGCUCACUGGUCGAGUCGGCCUGCGCGGAAGAUGUAACGGGGCUAAACCAUGCACCGAAGCUGCGGCAGCGACGCUUAUGCGUUGUUGGGUAGGGGAGCGUUCUGUAAGCCUGUGAAGGUGUGCUGUGAGGCAUGCUGGAGGUAUCAGAAGUGCGAAUGCUGACAUAAGUAACGAUAAAGCGGGUGAAAAGCCCGCUCGCCGGAAGACCAAGGGUUCCUGUCCAACGUUAAUCGGGGCAGGGUGAGUCGACCCCUAAGGCGAGGCCGAAAGGCGUAGUCGAUGGGAAACAGGUUAAUAUUCCUGUACUUGGUGUUACUGCGAAGGGGGGACGGAGAAGGCUAUGUUGGCCGGGCGACGGUUGUCCCGGUUUAAGCGUGUAGGCUGGUUUUCCAGGCAAAUCCGGAAAAUCAAGGCUGAGGCGUGAUGACGAGGCACUACGGUGCUGAAGCAACAAAUGCCCUGCUUCCAGGAAAAGCCUCUAAGCAUCAGGUAACAUCAAAUCGUACCCCAAACCGACACAGGUGGUCAGGUAGAGAAUACCAAGGCGCUUGAGAGAACUCGGGUGAAGGAACUAGGCAAAAUGGUGCCGUAACUUCGGGAGAAGGCACGCUGAUAUGUAGGUGAAGUCCCUCGCGGAUGGAGCUGAAAUCAGUCGAAGAUACCAGCUGGCUGCAACUGUUUAUUAAAAACACAGCACUGUGCAAACACGAAAGUGGACGUAUACGGUGUGACGCCUGCCCGGUGCCGGAAGGUUAAUUGAUGGGGUUAGCGCAAGCGAAGCUCUUGAUCGAAGCCCCGGUAAACGGCGGCCGUAACUAUAACGGUCCUAAGGUAGCGAAAUUCCUUGUCGGGUAAGUUCCGACCUGCACGAAUGGCGUAAUGAUGGCCAGGCUGUCUCCACCCGAGACUCAGUGAAAUUGAACUCGCUGUGAAGAUGCAGUGUACCCGCGGCAAGACGGAAAGACCCCGUGAACCUUUACUAUAGCUUGACACUGAACAUUGAGCCUUGAUGUGUAGGAUAGGUGGGAGGCUUUGAAGUGUGGACGCCAGUCUGCAUGGAGCCGACCUUGAAAUACCACCCUUUAAUGUUUGAUGUUCUAACGUUGACCCGUAAUCCGGGUUGCGGACAGUGUCUGGUGGGUAGUUUGACUGGGGCGGUCUCCUCCUAAAGAGUAACGGAGGAGCACGAAGGUUGGCUAAUCCUGGUCGGACAUCAGGAGGUUAGUGCAAUGGCAUAAGCCAGCUUGACUGCGAGCGUGACGGCGCGAGCAGGUGCGAAAGCAGGUCAUAGUGAUCCGGUGGUUCUGAAUGGAAGGGCCAUCGCUCAACGGAUAAAAGGUACUCCGGGGAUAACAGGCUGAUACCGCCCAAGAGUUCAUAUCGACGGCGGUGUUUGGCACCUCGAUGUCGGCUCAUCACAUCCUGGGGCUGAAGUAGGUCCCAAGGGUAUGGCUGUUCGCCAUUUAAAGUGGUACGCGAGCUGGGUUUAGAACGUCGUGAGACAGUUCGGUCCCUAUCUGCCGUGGGCGCUGGAGAACUGAGGGGGGCUGCUCCUAGUACGAGAGGACCGGAGUGGACGCAUCACUGGUGUUCGGGUUGUCAUGCCAAUGGCACUGCCCGGUAGCUAAAUGCGGAAGAGAUAAGUGCUGAAAGCAUCUAAGCACGAAACUUGCCCCGAGAUGAGUUCUCCCUGACUCCUUGAGAGUCCUGAAGGAACGUUGAAGACGACGACGUUGAUAGGCCGGGUGUGUAAGCGCAGCGAUGCGUUGAGCUAACCGGUACUAAUGAACCGUGAGGCUUAACCUU
RNAcentral lists this ribosomal RNA (2906 nucleotides) under Escherichia coli. Its description in RNAcentral is "23S ribosomal RNA". It matches the Rfam family "Bacterial large subunit ribosomal RNA". The record is from RNAcentral. Lineage: Bacteria; Pseudomonadati; Pseudomonadota; Gammaproteobacteria; Enterobacterales; Enterobacteriaceae.